AGAAGUCCCCUAUUGUGACCGCGGAUCCCUGCUUGGAGGCUACGACACGGACCGUCCUUCUGCUGUCCACACAGUCCAGGAGGAAAAUCAAGAGAGGAUACAACAAUGGAGAAAAGAACAACAGAGGGUAGGGGAUUGGACAUCAAGAGGAAAGAUAGUGACAAUACCACUGACAGUAAUUGUCAGUAAGAAAUCACAAUGCACAGAACCAAACAAAAGAUAAAUGCAGGGGCCGAAAAUGAAAAGCAGACAAAGGACAUAGAGGAAUUAGCUGCUGGGAGGAAAGGAACUGUCAGGCAACGGUGGCCUUUCCCUACUACUCCUGCAGUUGCCUUUGCCUGCACUGGCUCCUUGAGAGGCAGCACCUCCUACCUGUGACUGACAAGGGGCUGCUAUUCCUCCAUGGCUUGUUAUGUGACUAUUCGAUGUAAUCCUCCCCCCACCACUGCACCGCGUCGCCAAGGACUUUCACACACAGGCUCCAGGAAAAGACACAAUCGGCACCCCAUGGAAUCCAAAAAGUUAUUACUCUUUGUGGUAGGCAAACCCUUACCUGUUAC
Molecule: long non-coding RNA, 560 nt
Organism: Mauremys reevesii (Reeves's turtle)
Lineage: Eukaryota; Metazoa; Chordata; Testudines; Geoemydidae
Exons: 5
Source: RefSeq, a predicted model, not a curated record